Molecule: unclassified non-coding RNA, 223 nt
Filed under: Hevea brasiliensis (rubber tree)
Lineage: Eukaryota; Viridiplantae; Streptophyta; Magnoliopsida; Malpighiales; Euphorbiaceae
Source: RNAcentral
AACAAACAUGGGGGAAGGAUCAUGUGCAAAGAAGGUAAAGCAAACAGCCAUGAACACAUGCUGCGACUCAAAGAUGGUUGCCAUAUAUCGUUAAAAAUCACAGAAAUGUCUGCUUAUUUCCUCUGGCACCAUGUGUAAAAGAAAAUAAUUGCAAGUUUCAGCCAGUAAGACUAAGAUACAAAAACAUUCGGGAAACAAAUUAUUGACCAGAAACACCUUUGAG